This 2982-nucleotide ribosomal RNA is filed under the name Planctomycetota bacterium. Its description in RNAcentral is "Planctomycetes bacterium (groundwater metagenome) 23S ribosomal RNA". It matches the Rfam family "Bacterial large subunit ribosomal RNA". The record is from RNAcentral. Lineage: Bacteria; Pseudomonadati; Planctomycetota.
GUGGUUAAGCUACAAAGAGUGUAUGGUGGAUGCCUUGGCGUCCAGAGCCUAUGAAGGACGUGGCCAAGCUGCGAUAAGCUCCGGGGAGCCGCCUAGCAGGCUUUGAUCCGGAGAUCUCCGAGAUCGGGAAACCGGUCGGAAAUCAUUUUCCGACGACGCGAAAGCGUUGGGAACGUGGGGAACUGAAACAUCUCAGUACCCACAGGAACAGAAAGAAACCUCGACUCCCCUAGUAGCGGCGAGCGAACGGGGACCAGCCCAAACCGAUGCAGUGCCAAGCUUACGGGCGUUGCUGCAUCGGGGUCGCGGGAUCCACAGGUCCUCCGUAUAGGACCGAGGAAGUUACCAAACUCAUCUCUAGAUGAACGGCAUGGGAAGGCCGGCCGCAGAGGGUGAAAGCCCCCUAGUCGACAGAGAUGAGUCUUCCGUGGCGAUCCCAAGUAGCACCAGACACGAGAAACCUGGUGUGAAUUAGGGGGGACCACCCCCCAAGGCUAAGUACUACUGGACGACCGAUAGCGUAAUAGUAGCGCGAGCGAAAGGUGAAAAGAACCCCUGUUAGGGGAGUGAAAUAGUACCUGAAACCAUACACUUACGAGCUGUCGGAGGCCUAUGGCCCCUCGGGGCAAUGGCUGACGGCGUGCCUUUUGCAUAAUGAUCCUGCGAGUUGCUUUAUCUGGCAAGGUUAAGGACCUCAGGUCCGCAGCCGAAGGGAAACCGAGUGUGAAUAGCGCGACUCAAGUCAGAUGGAGCAGACCCGAAAGCAAGUGAUCUAACCAUGAGCAGGUUGAAGCGGAUGUAACAAUCCGUGGAGGACCGAACAGGUAUGGGUUGAAAACCGUUCUGAUGACUUGUGGUUAGGAGUGAAAGGCUUAUCAAACUUGCAAAUAGCUGGUUCUCCCCGAAAUAGCUUUUGGGCUAGCCUCUGGUAAAUUAAUCGACGGGGGUAGAGCGACUGAAUGGGAUAAAGGGCCUUCGGGCUACUUUACCCAAUCAAACUCCGAAUACCGUUGAUCGUACCCAGGGAGUCAGACUACGAGCGAUAAGGUUCGUGGUCGAGAGGGAAACAGCCCAGAUCGUCAGCUAAGGUCCCUAAUGUGCGCUAAGUGCAGUGAAGGAAGUGGGAUCUCUAAGACAGUCAGGAUGUUGGCUUAGAAGCAGCCAUCAUUUAAAGAGUGCGUAACAGCUCACUGAUCGAGAGGUCCUGCGCCGAAAAUGAACGGGGCUCAAGUGCACAACCGAAGCUACGACAUGUAACGAAUCGCUGAUUCGUUGCUUGGGUAGGGGAGCGUUCCAAACGGGUGAAGGUCGACGGUAACGACGACUGGACGUUCUGGAAGUGAUUAUGCAGGAAUAAGUAGCGAGAAAACAGGUGAGAAUCCUGUUCGCCGUAAACCUAUGGGUUCCUGGGCACGGUAAAUCCGCCCAGGGUUAGUCGGACCCUAAGACGAGGCUGAAAGGCGUAGUCGAUGGAAGACAGGCUAAUAUUCCUGUACCACCGAGAUUGCGUUGAUCGAUGGGGGGACGCGGAAAGCAAAGUCGUCGCACUGUUAGCUUAGUGCGUACAAGCCCGAGGAUGGCCUGAUAGGAAAAUCCGCAGGCGUAAUUCCGGAGGUGAUGUCGAGUCUCACGACGAAGCGACUGGACCAACCGCCAAGAAAAUCCUCUAGGGAGUGGUCUCGGUGUCCGUACCUAAACCGACACAGGUGGGUGAGGUGAAUAUCCUAAGGCGCUCGAGAGAACUGCUGUUAAGGAACUCGGCAAAUUAACCCCGUAACUUCGGGAUAAGGGGAACCCUUCGAGGUGGAGGCCUUCGCGGCUGAAGCCCCAAAGGGUCGCAGAGAAAUGGCCCAACCGACUGUUUACUAAAAACACAGGUCUGUGCUAAGUCCGAACGACGAUGUAUACAGACUGACGCGUGCCCAAUGCCGGAAGGUUAAGAGGAGGAGUUAGCGCAAGCGAAGCUUCGAAUUGAAGCCCCGGUGAAUGGCGGCCGUAACUAUGACGGUCCUAAGGUAGCGAAGUUCCUUGUCGGGUAAGUUCCGACCCGCAUGAAUCGCGUAACGAGUUGGGCUCUGUCUCAACAGCAGACUCGGCGAACUUGUAGCCGUGGUGAAGAUGCCACGUUCCCGCGCCAAGACGGAAAGACCCCGUGAACCUUCACUAUAGCCUGAUAUUGGGGCUUGUUAUGACGUGCGUAGCAUAGGUGGGAGACGUUGAAUCCUGGCUUCUGGGCCGGGUGGAGUCGUCAGUGAAAUACCACUCUCGUCCUGAUAGGUUCCUAACGAAACACCGUGAAUCCGGGUUUCGAACAGUGUCAGGUGGGUAGUUUGGCUGGGGCGGUCUCCUCCAAAAGAGUAACGGAGGAGCACGAUGGUGCACUCAGCGCGGUCGGCAAUCGCGCGUCGAGCGUAAGGGUAUAAGUGCGCCUGACUGCGAGAGAUAUAGCUCAAGCAGAAACGAAAGUUGGUCCUAGUGAUCCGGCGGAUUCCGAGUGGAAGGGCCGUCGCUCAUCAGAUAAAAGGUACUCCGGGGAUAACAGGCUGAUCGCCUCCAAGAGUUCAUAUCGACGAGGCGGUUUGGCACCUCGAUGUCGGCUCAUCGCAUCCUGGGGCUGAAGGAGGUCCCAAGGGUUUGGCUGUUCGCCAAUUAAAGCGGUACGCGAGCUGGGUUUAGACCGUCGUGAGACAGGUCGGUCCCUAUCUGGCGUGGGUGUAGGAUGAUUGCGGAGGUUUUCCCCUAGUACGAGAGGAUUGGGGAGGACGGUCCUCUGGUGCUCCAGUUAUCACGCUAGUGGUACAGCUGGGUAGCUAUGACCGGAACGGAUAAGCGCUGAAUGCAUCUAAGCGCGAAGCCUUCUCCUAAACGAAUCAUCCCUAUCAGUCCCCUAGGAGACUACUAGGUUGAUAGGCCGGCGGUGUAAACGUGGCGACACGUGAGCUUACCGGUACUAAUCGGACGAUCGGCUUAGCCACCUUUUUC